UAUGUCUUGGUAAGGGUAUGUGGGGGUUGCCUUUCUCUAGGGUGUGUUUGGUUUGUGGUAUGUUUAUGCAUGUGCAUCAGAAAAAGUUGUCAAGAUAUCAAUUCCGUAAGGUUGUUUAUUUUCUAUUAACAGUGAGUUGUCACAUGGCAGGUAACAUACAAAACUAGGCCAAAGUAGCCUAGAUAGAAGCAAUCUAGGAACACUAUAGGGUCAGGAACACAAACAUGAAUUCCUCACCCUAUAGUGUUAAAACCACCAUCUAACCGCACUGGCCCCCACUAGCUCCCCUA
This is a non-coding RNA of Pelobates cultripes (western spadefoot toad), 290 nucleotides long. NCBI's taxonomy places the organism in Eukaryota, Metazoa, Chordata, Amphibia, Anura, Pelobatidae. The record is from the annotation of a GenBank genome assembly.